GACGAACGCUGGCGGCGUGCUUAACACAUGCCAGUCGAACAGAAAGGCCCUUCGGGGUACUCGAGUGGCGAACGGGUGAGUAACACGUGGGUGAUCUGCCCUGCACUUUGGGAUAAGCCUGGGAAACUGGGUCUAAUACCGAAUAGGACCACGCGCUUCAUGGUGUGUGGUGGAAAGCUUUUGCGGUGUGGGAUGGGCCCGCGGCCUAUCAGCUUGUUGGUGGGGUAAUGGCCUACCAAGGCGACGACGGGUAGCCGGCCUGAGAGGGUGACCGGCCACACUGGGACUGAGAUACGGCCCAGACUCCUACGGGAGGCAGCAGUGGGGAAUAUUGCACAAUGGGCGCAAGCCUGAUGCAGCGACGCCGCGUGAGGGAUGACGGCCUUCGGGUUGUAAACCUCUUUCAAUAGGGACGAAGCGCAAGUGACGGUACCUAUAGAAGAAGCACCGGCCAACUACGUG
This 462-nucleotide ribosomal RNA is filed under the name uncultured bacterium. RNAcentral's name for it is "partial 16S ribosomal RNA". It matches the Rfam family "Bacterial small subunit ribosomal RNA", at positions 28 to 507 of the family's 1533-position model. The record is from RNAcentral.